GCAUAUAGCUGACAGCUGCUUAUAAAGUAGAGGAAAGUCCGUGCUAGCACCACCUGCAAUGGUGGUAGUGAUUGCGCUUAGCCCAAUAAGCUAUGGAUAUAAGGAAACUUAUAGACGACUAGUGCCACAGAGACGAGAGAAAUGAAACGGGUAAACUCCGCAAGCUAGAAACUCAAAUUUUGGUAGAGGAAUUCAAGCUAAGAACUCAAUGAAGCUUGGAAAUAUCUAUUUAUAGAUAUUAGAUAAAUUGUCAGCACUGUAGUAAUACAGAACAGAACACGGCUUAUGAUG
RNAcentral lists this RNase P RNA (291 nucleotides) under Mycoplasmopsis verecunda. Its description in RNAcentral is "Mycoplasma verecundum Bacterial RNase P class B". It matches the Rfam family "Bacterial RNase P class B". From Rfam's summary of the family: Ribonuclease P (RNase P) is a ubiquitous endoribonuclease, found in archaea, bacteria and eukarya as well as chloroplasts and mitochondria. Its best characterised activity is the generation of mature 5'-ends of tRNAs by cleaving the 5'-leader elements of precursor-tRNAs. The record is from Rfam by way of RNAcentral. Lineage: Bacteria; Bacillati; Mycoplasmatota; Mycoplasmoidales; Metamycoplasmataceae.